UACGUAGGGCGCAAGCGUUAUCCGGAAUUAUUGGGCGUAAAGAGCUCGUAGGCGGUUUGUCGCGUCUGCCGUGAAAGUCCGGGGCUCAACUCCGGAUCUGCGGUGGGUACGGGCAGACUAGAGUGAUGUAGGGGAGACUGGAAUUCCUGGUGUAGCGGUGAAAUGCGUAGAUAUCUGGAGGAACACCGGUGGCGAAGGCGGCGUCCUGGACCAACACUGACACUGAUGAGCGAAAGCCAGGGGAGCAAACGGG
RNAcentral lists this ribosomal RNA (253 nucleotides) under uncultured bacterium. RNAcentral's name for it is "partial 16S ribosomal RNA". It matches the Rfam family "Bacterial small subunit ribosomal RNA", at positions 524 to 776 of the family's 1533-position model. The record is from RNAcentral.